Molecule: unclassified non-coding RNA, 402 nt
Filed under: soil metagenome
Description: partial contains 5.8S ribosomal RNA, internal transcribed spacer 2, and large subunit ribosomal RNA
Rfam family: 5.8S ribosomal RNA (bases 1-121)
Source: RNAcentral
GAUGAAGAACGUAGCGAAAUGCGAUAAGUAAUGUGAAUUGCAGAAUUCAGUGAAUCAUCGAAUCUUUGAACGCACCUUGCGCCCUUUGGCUAUUCCGAAGGGCAUCCCUGUUUGAGUAUCGUGAACACCUCAACUCUCAUGGUUUGCCAUGAUGAGCUUGGACUUUGGGGGUUUUGCUGGCCUUUGGUCGGCUCCUCUCAAACGGAUCAGCUUUCCAGUGUUUGGUGGCGUCACGGGUGUGAUAACUAUCUACGCCUGUGGUUUUCUGCCAGAUAACCUUCAGCGAUGGAGGUUCGCUGGGGCUCAUAAAUGUCUCUCUUCAGUGGAGACAGCUUUUUGGACGUUUGAUCUCAAAUCAGGUAGGACUACCCGCUGAACUUAAGCAUAUCAAUAAGCGGAGGA